This is a long non-coding RNA of Hemicordylus capensis (graceful crag lizard), 887 nucleotides long. RefSeq lists it as uncharacterized. The record is from RefSeq and is a predicted model, not a curated record. NCBI's taxonomy places the organism in Eukaryota, Metazoa, Chordata, Lepidosauria, Squamata, Cordylidae. The transcript is spliced from 3 exons.
CAGCACAGCAUGGCAGUGGCGGAGUGGGGUGGUGGCAGGAGGCCCCCCCCCCGGUCAUUUAGAGCUCCCCCAGACCUUGGAGACCAUGGACUGGGGCCCCAAGGUCCGGGGGUAAGAGCACCUCUGCUGGUGGGUCAGAUCCAGCAGAAAAAAUGAACACAUCCCCUAAUCGAAUGGGACUCCUGGUUUCCUUUUGAAGGAUGUUGGGUUCCUUCUUUCAAGCUGGAGGAUUUCUACCCUUGUGGAAAAAUUACUGCAAUUAGGCAAAAUAAGGAAAGACAAGUAGGGAAAGGCUCCAUGGCAGGGGAAGAUGUGUGCACUCAAACAUCCUUAUACACAGGCAAGCUGAUGAAGUAUCAUCUGAACCAGCGCUUUGUGAAAGACCUUCAUAUGUCGAGAACUUCCACAACAUCCGAAGUGUCUACCAACUUCUUACGAUAUAAUCACAAGCUCUAAAAGGACAUCGCAGAUGAAGAAAGCAGUAUUUUCAAGCUUUAAGAAGAAUGUAAACCAAUGCACCAAAACUACUCACAAACAUUGACUUUCAAAUAGCAACACAACUAUAAAGCGCCCUCCUUAUGCCAUAAAAUGAGUUUCAAAAAUAUGCUGUUUUAAGUAUCUAGCAUUAACAUGAAAUGUAGUAGUUUAAAUGCAUCUAUCGUAAGAAAUAGGGUAUGAAUUCACAAAUGAAAAAAGCAGGCAAAUGUAUUGAAAAUGUGUUUAAACCGUGACAAAUGUGGAUUUGGAAAUGGAAUUGCAAAGGAUUUAAAAUGACUUUUAAAAAAUAGUUGUUUGGUUCAAUACACCAGUGAGUAUUUCAUAGAGCACUUACCAUGUAAUCUUCUUUUCCGGAAAUCAUACCCCCAGAAUAAAUAUUUUAACUGUUA